ACUCAGAUGUAUGGAACAUGUUAUCUAAAAAAAUUUAUCAGACCAUCGGGCUGACUAGCUGUAAAUUUUGACCGUCCGUGAGAAAUCUAGCCCGUCUCGGGCAGUCGGACGGGCCUUAUUUCAUACACUGGUUGGGUAUGUUUUUCCACUUUGAACAGUA
This is a long non-coding RNA of Haliotis rubra (blacklip abalone), 160 nucleotides long. RefSeq lists it as uncharacterized. Lineage: Eukaryota; Metazoa; Mollusca; Gastropoda; Lepetellida; Haliotidae. The transcript is spliced from 3 exons. The record is from RefSeq and is a predicted model, not a curated record.